UACAGAGGUCUCAAGCGUUGUUCGGAUUCAUUGGGCGUAAAGGGUGCGUAGGUGGCAUGGUAAGUCGGAUGUGAAAUCCCGGGGCUCAACCCGGAACUGCAUUCGAUACUGCUGCGCUAGAGUACUGGAGAGGAGAUUGGAAUUUACGGUGUAGCAGUGAAAUGCGUAGAUAUCGUAAGGAAGACCAGUGGCGAAGGCGGAUCUCUGGACAGUUACUGACACUGAGCACGAAGGCCAGGGGAGCAAACGGG
This 251-nucleotide ribosomal RNA is filed under the name uncultured bacterium. RNAcentral's name for it is "partial 16S ribosomal RNA". It matches the Rfam family "Bacterial small subunit ribosomal RNA", at positions 524 to 776 of the family's 1533-position model. The record is from RNAcentral.